UACAGAGGGUGCGAGCGUUAAUCGGAAUUACUGGGCGUAAAGGGUGCGCAGGCGGUUCUGCAAGUCAGGCGUGAAAUCCCCGGGCUUAACCUGGGAAUGGCGCUUGAAACUACGGGACUGGAGUAUGGCAGAGGGAGGUGGAAUUCCACGUGUAGCGGUGAAAUGCGUAGAGAUGUGGAGGAACACCGAUGGCGAAGGCAGCCUCCUGGGCCAAUACUGACGCUCAUGCACGAAAGCGUGGGGAGCAAACAGG
Molecule: ribosomal RNA, 253 nt
Filed under: uncultured bacterium
Lineage: Bacteria
Description: partial 16S ribosomal RNA
Rfam family: Bacterial small subunit ribosomal RNA
Source: RNAcentral